Molecule: ribosomal RNA, 443 nt
Filed under: uncultured bacterium
Lineage: Bacteria
Description: partial 16S ribosomal RNA
Rfam family: Bacterial small subunit ribosomal RNA
Source: RNAcentral
CCUACGGGAUGCAGCAGUGGGGAAUAUUGGGCAAUGGAGGCAACUCUUACCCAGCAAUGCCGCGUGAGUGAAGAAGGUCUUCGGAUUGUAAAGUUCUUUAAUUGGGGACGAAAAAAAUGACGGUACCUGAAGAAGAAGCCCCGGCUAACUACGUGCCAGCAGCCGCGGUAAUACGUAGGGGGCAAGCGUUAUCCGGAUUUACUGGGUGUAAAGGGGGCGCAGACGGAGAUGCAAGCCAGGAGUGAAAGCCCGGGGCCCAACCCCGGGACUGCUCUUGGAACUGUGUGGCUGGAGUGCCGGAGGGGCAGGCGGAAUUCCUGGUGUAGCGGUGAAAUGCGUAGAUAUCAGGAGGAACACCGGUGGCGAAGGCGGCCUGCUGGACUGCAACUGACGUUGAGGCUCGAAAGCGUGGGGAGCAAACAGGAGUAGAUACCCGUGUAGUC